UGCGAUCGUUAGCGGAGAGUGAAUUUGUGCGACGACGAAAAGGGAAAAUGGGGCCAAAUAUCGUGACCUUGAUCUGCAUCUUUGUUUUAUUCGCAAAUUUUGUGUCGCAAGCUGCUGGCUCGUCAAUUCAGAAAAAAGCAAAUAAUGGAACAGACGGGAAUCACAAAAUUUGCAUAAAGGAAAAUUUUGAUCAUUGCAAAGUGUCUCCCGAUUUCAAUGAAACCAAUGAACUUGAAAACUGCAAAAAUCGUUGCUUAAAUGAUACUGAAAAUUUAUAUUACUGCUGCCAUCUUGAUGAUAACACAGAAAAACCACCGUAAGUAUCAACAAUAUUUUAUUGCUUCAUAUCACCACCCAAAAUAUGUGAUUUGCUUUUGAGCAUUUUCUUCAAACAGCUAUUAUGGACUCUCUGUGUUUUGCUCAGACAAAUUCGAAUAAUAAUAUUAAUUGGCCCUUAAUUUUUUACAGAAAUAAUUCACAAACAGCUCUAGUAAUCGUGGUUGUUUUAACCUCUGUGCUGAGUCUCAUCAUAUUAGCCUUCAACUUCAAAAUCGCGUUUAAGCUCAUCAUGAGGGCGAGGAACAAAGUUGCCAGUUUUAAUACACCGCUUUCUCUAAACGGGGACUAUACGCGCUUUGAUGUUGGAGGAAACAUUAUUGCUGAAUCUACUGAAUCUUCUUUUAACCGGCCGUUCACUGUCAGUGGUGGUCUCGUGAAAUGACAUAAAUGACUGUGAGCAAGUGACAAAUUAUAUUUUAAAUACGAUUUCCAAAACAUUAGAGUUUAGAGAUUAGGAUUGUGUUUAUCGUUUAUCCCAAGUGUUAUCAGAAUACAACCAAACUAAUGCUUUAGUUGUUUUUCCCUGGACUUAAUAAAAAGUCUUAAUCCGUUUUAAAAUAAUAAUGUUCAUUAUAUAAAAAUCGUAUCAUUUUGGUCAAUGUGCCUGAGUAAUUUAAGAAACUUUUGGUUUUAGUUAAAAUUAAUUUGGUGUUGCUAGUUCUUUAAGCUCUCAAUCUAAUUAUGCAAAAUUUCCUUCAUUUUGAACUAACCUACCAUUAUUCAAUUUUUUACUACACAAUUUUUGGUUAAAUUCGAAUUUCAAUUUUUUUCUAGGGGGAUAAAAGUAAAUUAUAAUCUUGAGUAAAUUAUAAUCUAUAAGUGAUCUUAACAUUCCACUACAAUAUUUUAAACUUCAUAUAAAAGUUCUUAAAAUACCCUUAUAAUUAAGACUUACGCCUGUCUGUUUAUCACAAUUAAAAUUAAGUUUUAUAAAUUUCUGUUGAUUAAUUUUGUGUCACCCUAAAAAAUGAUGGCUAAAAGUGAAAAUUUGAGAAAAUUUGAAUGCCAUGCCAUCCAUUCUGUGUAAAUCCAUGCAGAGAAGAGUCAUUAAUUUAUUUUUUAGUUUAUAAACAGUAAAUUUCUUUUGCAUUCUUUUUGUGUUCCCUAUCGUUUGAUUUUUGAUAAAAGAAAAUUGAUAUUUUGAUUGUUUUUCACAGAUUAAAAUCCAUCUUUUAGCGGAAGAUUAUUUUGGAAAAUGGCGAACGGUACUUCAACACAUGAGAAACCGCCUACGUAGUGAAAAAAUGAAAAAUAAUAUAGUCUAGCGCGGAAGCAAAAGCGUGAAAAAGUCGUAACAAAAAAGAGGAGACAAAACCAGCCGCUCCACUCAUUGUCAGUCCACUCUCAACGACAUUAUUAGUAUUUACCUUAAAGAUAAAAAUGAAGUUUUGGUGGCUGUACAGUUUGCUGUCAUUCGCAUGGAAUAGCAAAUAUACCGAGAUCCUGUUGACGAAAAGGACAAAUCUACAAAGAAAAAUGCAGCAAUCUUGCACUUGGGAAUUGGCGGAUUGAAGCCCAAAUCAACCCCAGUCUCUUCUCAAAUAAAUAUAGUCCUUAAUGUAAAAAAACUAUCUCAACACGCUCAACUCGUAAACGAAAGUAGUGAGAGUGCAACCAAUCAGCCGGACGCUGGAUGAGUGGUACAUCGACAAAAACGGCUCUCUGAAGGAAAUUAGAAACGUUCCUCAGGGCCUGUCGCUUGUCAAAGACUUCGUGCUGCCCGAUAUGCACGCCUCCCACACCACCGUCAUAUUCCUGGACGAAGGGGUGGUCACGGAUUGAGGUGCCCUGUUCGAAAUCCCGUUCCCAACUCUUAGCACACUGUCUCUAUGGCUGGCCGACCUGAGCGGCGUCCCCUUGAGAGGCUGGACACGCUUUUUGAGUCUGUCGAAGACGAACUCACCAAGAAAAUGCACUCGCACCUGCAGCUGCUGACUUAGGGCUUGAGCGAAUUAUUUCAGGGCCCACAUAUGAGCACAGAGGACGUUUCCUUGGCCGCAGCAAUCAGAGAAUGCUUGCUUAGAUUUGUGAUUAUUUACUUUGCAAUGGUAAUUUUCUUUCUGAUUUUACAGACUUGAUGUUAUGUGUGCAACGUCAUUGAAAUAAGUCUUGUGAUAUUUUGAAAGUUCUCAGCCUACAGUCUGAUAUAGGCGCAUUCAUUCAAUAAUCAAACGGAUAGUUUUCAAGCUCAAAUAACAUGAAAUGUACAUUAAUAUAUGAUUAUGUGAUAUUGAAAUGCUUCAGUUUUGUUUGAAUAGAGUUGAAACCAAAUAAAAUUGUUCAAUGCCUGCAUUCCUGCUUGAAAAUCCUUGUAAUUUUCAUAAAUAUUAUGAUGUCUUAACUUUAAUUUGCAUACAAGCUAUUUUUGGAAUCCAGUGUUAAUAUUAAAGCAAUAAUGAUGCGACUCUUUGAAUGAAAUGUCCGGAACUCAAUUCUCCGUGGAAUUUGCCAUACAGCUUGCAUUUCACUGUCACACACUGGACGCAUUUUUUAUCAUUUUGAGCCCAAAUAAAAGUGGUGCUAUAUGUGGAAUUCACUGCUUUUAAUACAAAAAAGCUGCAGAUGUGCAUUUUUAUUUAACUCCGUUUGGAUCAUGGAAAUAAUUCUCAAUAUACUACAUGAUACAUAACUACUCCAGAAAAUAUUCUCCUCGUGUACGCCUUUGAUGUUGUUAUUUUAAUUUUUAAUAGAAUUAAAUUAUACGUACACAAAUUUUUUAUAGUUUUCGCAAUAAUCAUGACUACAUGGCAGCGACGGCAGACAGAGUUUGCUGCUAUAGAAGCAGGGGGAUUAAAUAAUUAUUGUUGGUCUGACUCUGGCGAGAGAGGAAGAAUCUCCCACUCAGGCUCCGCUGCAUCGUUCAAUUUGAAUUACGUAGAAGAUUAGUUGCGCCCGGGAGAAGAACUAAAUCAUCCUUUGCUUCAAGCGCAGUCACUCAAUUGAGAGUUUCUUUUCUUCUGAUAAAGUGAAAAUGGAUAGCAGGCUCGCUUUGACGAUGGUUCUCUUGGCCAUGUGCGUUACUCUCGUUUUCAGCGGAUUCAUUCAGCAGAUGUAAAACGAUCGAGCCGUUCAGGCCAAAGGAUUCCGACUCCAACGAAAUUCUUUCCUGCCCCAACAAAAACAACAACGAUUUGGAACCAUUUGAUAAAAAUCACUUUUGCUGCCAGAAACCCGACGGAUUGGAAUAUUUCUGCUGCGAUUUAGAUACAUACCUCGAUCUCAGGAUGGCACCUUACAAUAAGACCAUUAUGAUCGCCGGUGCAAUAGUCCUCGUGAUGAUCUGUAUAGGCGCGGGUUUAUCUAUUUGGGACUGCUGUGAACAGACUAAUUACAACAAGAUUGGAGUUCUGUCCACAGCAGGGAGCGAAAAUUUAAAUGUUGCCUACCCCGAAAGUGUAGGAAAUGAGAUUGAAGUGACGCCAGUUUAAUAAUGGCCAAACUGAUUGCUUUGAUGCGUGAACAAAAUAGUGACGUGUGAACUUCCAUUGUGAAUUAUUCAUAAAGAGAUUUUCACCUAGAAAAAAUAUGAGAAUCAAGAUUUAUUAGCUCUUAAGAUUUGCGAGCGUUAAUUUUCGAUGUCUAGAGGGAAAAUUCAUUAGAGAGAUCACUUCAGAACCAAUAGAUUGUGAAAAUGUGGCGAUUUUUUCAAAUUUAAAAUAAGUGUUAAAGUGAUCCUGAUAAAUUUUUGGGAAUGUGUUCGUCUUUGGUCCAUUUAUGAACUUUGGGACUUUAACAUUUUAUCAUUUAUCCCUCUAUUUUUGCUAAUUAAUCAAAAACACAGACUUCAUAGCCAAUAUACUUAACAGAAAACAUGAUUUUUCAAGGAAAUAUAGACGGCGAAGUUGUUAGAAUGCUCUGCGUGGUUUCUAAAGUGUCUUUACUGUCUUUCAUCUCUAAUGUAUAUUACAUAUUAGCUGCUGUCAGGGUUGAACCCGACACUGCAAAACAGACUGAAAAGAGAUUAAGCUUUAGGUAUAAAGAACUAUAAAUGCAAGGAUAUUAAACAAAUAAAAUCAAUAAAAGACAGUUAAAAUACUAGCAAUAUGACUAAAUUUUAUUUCAUUAUUUUCAAAUAAAAAAUAUUCAAAUCUGUCUUUAAGGUUUAAGACAGAUUAAGUCAGAUUUAAGAUUAAGUCACUAAGCCAUUAGCCAUUACGUACUAAAUAAAAAAGCCACACCGCUGGGCCGAUAAAAACUUAUGUAGACACGGAAAUAUAAUUUAAGAGUAAUUUAAUUUGCUUGGACCAUCAAUUUCAUCGAUUUAAUUUAACACCUUUUAAGUGCUACGUAUCCGUGGGCAUUAACAAAUGAAAAAUAAACAUUAUUAAAAUUUUCAAAUUUGAAGCAUGCACAUCAUAUUUAAAUCUGUUACAAUAAAUCGAAAUAACUAUAUUGCUCAAACUUGUACUUCUCUGUAACCAAAAUCUAUUUUCAGGUAAAAAGCCGCACCUAAAAACAUUUUAAUAUUAUUCAUUGGUUAUAAUAAUGUGCAAUCAAUUUUCAAUUCAUCGUUGCACUAGCAGUAGAGUUGAAAGUUUCUUUGUGGAAGUAUCGGAUAUACAUGCGGACACUGGUACCAAAAUGAACUUCAAGCAUCUCCUUCUCUUAUUAGUGCAUUUUAACCUCGCCCUUGCCAGCCAGAAAUGCUUAUCAAAUUCGACCACAUUGCCGCAGAGGGUUUUCAACGCGUUUAGCGAUGAUAUUUCUUCGAGUAUUCAUUGUCCAGUGCGACCGGCCCUUUUAAAUUCAACAAUCAUAGCCUCGGUCGUGGACAAGAAAGAAAAUUUCUGCUGUCUGAAGCUCUCCACUUUUCACUAUAAAUGUUGUAAUCAGGCAGAUUCUGACACUAAUACGACAUGGGUAAUCGUUGUAGUGAUAGUGAUUUUUCUGGGCGUUGUGGCCUUUUUCGCCUCUAUAACCAAGUGUUUUCUCAUUAGACUGAUUUGGAAAAAAGAAGAGAGCAACUAGUUCGAUUUUCAAGCAAGGCGAGACCUGCAAAGUUAUUGCAAUGAAGAUAAAUUAUGGAUUUUUUUAACAAUAAAACAACAACCUUUGACUGAAAAUAUGUUGUGAAGAAAAAUGUAUGUGAUUUUUAAGUAAACCAACGUUUUACUACCUGCGUA
Cloeon dipterum is the source of this 5462-nucleotide long non-coding RNA. RefSeq lists it as uncharacterized. NCBI's taxonomy places the organism in Eukaryota, Metazoa, Arthropoda, Insecta, Ephemeroptera, Baetidae. The record is from RefSeq and is a predicted model, not a curated record. The transcript is spliced from 7 exons.